CUGUUUUCGGCAGCACAUUUACCAAACUUGGAAUGAUACAGAGAUUAGUGUGGCCCCUGCACAAGGAUGACACACAAAUUCAUGAAGGAGAAAGCCCGUUG
RNAcentral lists this small nuclear RNA (101 nucleotides) under Varanus komodoensis (Komodo dragon). The record is from RNAcentral. Lineage: Eukaryota; Metazoa; Chordata; Lepidosauria; Squamata; Varanidae.